Molecule: unclassified non-coding RNA, 341 nt
Filed under: soil metagenome
Description: partial contains 5.8S ribosomal RNA, internal transcribed spacer 2, and large subunit ribosomal RNA
Rfam family: 5.8S ribosomal RNA (bases 1-120)
Source: RNAcentral
GAUGAAGAACGUAGCGAAAUGCGAUAAGUAGUGUGAAUUGCAGAAUUCAGUGAAUCAUCGAAUCUUUGAACGCACAUUGCGCCCUUUGGUAUUCCAAAGGGCAUGCCUGUUCGAGCGUCAUUUGUACCCUCAAGCUUUGCUUGGUGUUGGGCGUCUUGUCUCUAGCUUUGCUGGAGACUCGCCUUAAAGUAAUUGGCAGCCGGCCUGCUGGUUUCGGAGCGCAGCACAAGUCGCACUCUCUAUCAGCAAAGGUCUAGCAUCCAUUAAGCCUUUUUUUCAACUUUUGACCUCGGAUCAGGUAGGGAUACCCGCUGAACUUAAGCAUAUCAAUAAGCGGAGGA